This 1634-nucleotide ribosomal RNA is filed under the name Salmonella enterica subsp. enterica serovar Typhimurium. Its description in RNAcentral is "partial 23S ribosomal RNA". It matches the Rfam family "Bacterial large subunit ribosomal RNA", at positions 442 to 1874 of the family's 2925-position model. The record is from RNAcentral. Lineage: Bacteria; Pseudomonadati; Pseudomonadota; Gammaproteobacteria; Enterobacterales; Enterobacteriaceae.
AUAUGGGGGGACCAUCCUCCAAGGCUAAAUACUCCUGACUGACCGAUAGUGAACCAGUACCGUGAGGGAAAGGCGAAAAGAACCCCGGCGAGGGGAGUGAAAAAGAACCUGAAACCGUGUACGUACAAGCAGUGGGAGCCCCACCACUAAGCCAGUGGUGAACUCCACAUCCGCAUCCUUUGCUGAGGAUACGGUUAACGGAGCGAAAGCGACGUUCAACCGCAAAACAAGCAGAGGGGGCUUAGUGGUGGGGUGACUGCGUACCUUUUGUAUAAUGGGUCAGCGACUUAUAUUCUGUAGCAAGGUUAACCGAAUAGGGGAGCCGGAGGGAAACCGAGUCUUAAUUGGGCGUUAAGUUGCAGGGUAUAGACCCGAAACCCGGUGAUCUAGCCAUGGGCAGGUUGAAGGUUGGGUAACACUAACUGGAGGACCGAACCGACUAAUGUUGAAAAAUUAGCGGAUGACCUGUGGCUGGGGGUGAAAGGCCAAUCAAACCGGGAGAUAGCUGGUUCUCCCCGAAAGCUAUUUAGGUAGCGCCUCGUGAAUUCAUCUCCGGGGGUAGAGCACUGUUUCGGCUAGGGGGCCAUCCCGGCUUACCAACCCGAUGCAAACUGCGAAUACCGGAGAAUGUUAUCACGGGAGACACACGGCGGGUGCUAACGUCCGUCGUGAAGAGGGAAACAACCCAGACCGCCAGCUAAGGUCCCAAAGUCAUGGUUAAGUGGGAAACGAUGUGGGAAGGCCCAGACAGCCAGGAUGUUGGCUUAGAAGCAGCCAUCAUUUAAAGAAAGCGUAAUAGCUCACUGGUCGAGUCGGCCUGCGCGGAAGAUGUAACGGGGCUAAACCAUGCACCGAAGCUGCGGCAGCGAACGUAUCACCCAAGACAACUUUACGGAGUUGACGAUUGACGGAGCGAAGCGACGUCAAAGCGUUCAUUAAAGUCGAGUUGGCUUAGGGAUACGUUCGUUGGGUAGGGGAGCGUUCUGUAAGCCUGUGAAGGUGUGUCGUGAGGCAUGCUGGAGGUAUCAGAAGUGCGAAUGCUGACAUAAGUAACGAUAAAGCGGGUGAAAAGCCCGCUCGCCGGAAGACCAAGGGUUCCUGUCCAACGUUAAUCGGGGCAGGGUGAGUCGACCCCUAAGGCGAGGCCGAAAGGCGUAGUCGAUGGGAAACGGGUUAAUAUUCCCGUACUUGGUGUUACUGCGAAGGGGGGACGGAGAAGGCUAUGUUGGCCGGGCGACGGUUGUCCCGGUUUAAGCGUGUAGGUGUGUGUUCCAGGUAAAUCCGGUUCACUUUAACACUGAGGCGUGACGACGAGGCACUACGGUGCUGAAGCAACAAAUGCCCUGCUUCCAGGAAAAGCCUCUAAGCAUCAGGUAACACGAAAUCGUACCCCAAACCGACACAGGUGGUCAGGUAGAGAAUACCAAGGCGCUUGAGAGAACUCGGGUGAAGGAACUAGGCAAAAUGGUGCCGUAACUUCGGGAGAAGGCACGCUGACACGUAGGUGAAGUGAUUUACUCAUGGAGCUGAAGUCAGUCGAAGAUACCAGCUGGCUGCAACUGUUUAUUAAAAACACAGCACUGUGCAAACACGAAAGUGGACGUAUACGGUGUGACGCCUGCCCGGUGCCGGAA